CAGCCGCCGCGGUAAUACGGAGGGCGCGAGCGUUACCCGGAUUUACUGGGCGUAAAGGGCGUGUAGGCGGCCCGGGGCGUCCCAUGUGAAAGGCCACGGCUCAACCGUGGAGGAGCGUGGGAUACGCUCAGGCUAGAGGGUGGGAGAGGGUGGUGGAAUUCCCGGAGUAGCGGUGAAAUGCGCAGAUACCGGGAGGAACGCCGAUGGCGAAGGCAGCCACCUGGUCCACUUCUGACGCUGAGGCGCGAAAGCGUGGGGAGCAAACCGGAUUAGAUACCCCAGUAGUCCCUGUCUCUUAUAC
RNAcentral lists this ribosomal RNA (301 nucleotides) under uncultured bacterium. RNAcentral describes it as "partial 16S ribosomal RNA". It matches the Rfam family "Bacterial small subunit ribosomal RNA", at positions 509 to 807 of the family's 1533-position model. The record is from RNAcentral.